Molecule: non-coding RNA, 23 nt
Filed under: Mus musculus (house mouse)
Lineage: Eukaryota; Metazoa; Chordata; Mammalia; Rodentia; Muridae
Source: RNAcentral
AGAAAGCCGAUGGAAUUCAGGGA